AAGGUAUAUAUCCUAGUGUCUUUGGCUUCUAUCUCAACCUUCAACUGUCCUAUCUGUAUCUCCCUCUGCUCCAACCUCCCUCGUAACUCGGCUAACUCCAUCUGUGCUCGGUGAGCAGCGUCCUUGUACUGCUGUUCUGAAAUCUGGAGAGUACGAUUUCGUGCCUCCGCUUGCUCGGCUCUAACCUUUAAGUCGUCGUUCCUAACUAUCAAAUCUCUUAUCAUCUCACUGUCUGUGUACUCGCUACAGUCCAUCGUCUCUUGGGUCAAGGAAUUACUAUUUUGACUUUCGUCAUCCAUCAUAUGACCACAAUAAACGAGACAACAUUAGUACCGAAAUAAAAUAUAUUCAUCGAUAAAAUGAAGGAAUAUUUUAUUUAGUACGACUAAACUUGAUGGAUCUCUUCGACUCAUCAUAUCCUAUAACUUCUCACCAGAGUACUUCGUCUCUUGAUUCACUGAAUAUCUAUCUUAACUUUCGUC
RNAcentral lists this long non-coding RNA (482 nucleotides) under Panax ginseng (ginseng). Its description in RNAcentral is "long non-coding RNA (PGIN_LNC001874)". Lineage: Eukaryota; Viridiplantae; Streptophyta; Magnoliopsida; Apiales; Araliaceae. The record is from RNAcentral.